GAAUAUUGGACAAUGGGCGAAAGCCUGAUCCAGCCAUGCCGCGUGUGUGAAGAAGGCUUUCGGGUUGUAAAGCACUUUCAGUGAGGAAGAAAGCCUUGGGGUUAAUACCCCCGAGGAAGGACAUCACUCACAGAAGAAGCACCGGCUAACUCCGUGCCAGCAGCCGCGGUAAUACGGAGGGUGCGCGCGUUAAUCGGAAUUACUGGGCGUAAAGCGCGCGUAGGCGGCUAAGUAAGCCGGUUGUGAAAGCCCCGGGCUCAACCUGGGAACGGCAUCCGGAACUGUUUAGCCAGAGUGCAGGAGAGGAAGGUAGAAUUCCCGGUGUAGCGGUGAAAUGCGUAGAGAUCGGGAGGAAUACCAGUGGCGAAGGCGGCCUUCUGGACUGACACUGACGCUGAGGUGCGAAAGCGUGGGUAGCAAACAGG
RNAcentral lists this ribosomal RNA (425 nucleotides) under uncultured bacterium. RNAcentral's name for it is "bacterial SSU rRNA". It matches the Rfam family "Bacterial small subunit ribosomal RNA", at positions 359 to 776 of the family's 1533-position model. The record is from RNAcentral.